Molecule: ribosomal RNA, 253 nt
Filed under: uncultured bacterium
Lineage: Bacteria
Description: partial 16S ribosomal RNA
Rfam family: Bacterial small subunit ribosomal RNA
Source: RNAcentral
UACGUAGGGUGCGAGCGUUAAUCGGAAUUACUGGGCGUAAAGCGUGCGCAGGCGGUUUUUUAAGCUAGAUGUGAAAUCCCCGGGCUCAACCUGGGAACUGCAUUUGGAACUGAAAGACUAGAGUGUAGCAGAGGGGGGUAGAAUUCCACGUGUAGCAGUGAAAUGCGUAGAGAUGUGGAGGAAUACCGAUGGCGAAGGCAGCCCCCUGGGCUAUAACUGACGCUCAUGCACGAAAGCGUGGGGAGCAAACAGG